Molecule: long non-coding RNA, 787 nt
Organism: Stegodyphus dumicola
Lineage: Eukaryota; Metazoa; Arthropoda; Arachnida; Araneae; Eresidae
Source: RefSeq, a predicted model, not a curated record
UUAUAUGCUUUCGAUAUCGUCGGGGUGGCGGUUGUAAGAAUUUGAGUUCGGUUGCGCUGGAAAGAGCCUCUGCGAGAGAUGUCUCCAACUGGGAAAUAUAUUUCUUCGCUUACUCUGGGAUCUUUGAUUUUUUGUUCAAGGUUUCUGACAUUGAAACUACUGACAGUUUAAGAAUGCAAUUCAAAAAGGAAAUCUGAUUUUUUUAUGUUCUGGGCCUAAAUUCGCAUUAUUGGUUCGCAGGAAGAAGCCUUUCACUGUAACAAAUGAUUUUUGCAACAGUCUUCUAUAUUUUACAUUCGCACUACGUUUGUAUGAAUGAAAAUUCGUAAAUCACAGCUUCUUUUUGUUUUAAGUGUUUGACAUGUCAAGACUCUUAAGUCUUUUUGUUGUUUCAUUGGAAUUUCAUAUUAACAAAUUCUUAGGAAAUUUCUGAAUUUCUUAGUUACUUGAAUUCUUAUUGUGAUAUUAAUUUAUAUUUGGAAUCCAAAACAUUUAAGAUUUUUCUAAAUGUUUCUAUGUAGUAAAACACAACGAUCAAGUUGCUAAUACUUAAUGCAAAUACAUCCUCUGCAUUCACUAAAAUCAGGUUUUUCCGUAGGCAUUUUAAUAGAGCACGCUUUGGAGUAAAAGAUUAAAAAACAACUUACCAAUUUUUUCAACAUUGUAACUUCUCUUUACAACAUCAAAUGCAUAUGUAGAUUACGGAAUACGACAACUGAAUAAAAAGUGAUUACACUUUUUGGAGGGAUGAAAUCUUUCAGCCAAAUAAAGGAGAAACCAUGCGUGU